This 177-nucleotide small nuclear RNA is filed under the name Microcebus murinus (gray mouse lemur). RNAcentral describes it as "U2 spliceosomal RNA (ENSMICG00000028086.2)". It matches the Rfam family "U2 spliceosomal RNA". Rfam says of the family: U2 is a small nuclear RNA (snRNA) component of the spliceosome (involved in pre-mRNA splicing). Complementary binding between U2 snRNA (in an area lying towards the 5' end but 3' to hairpin I) and the branchpoint sequence (BPS) of the intron results the bulging out of an unpaired adenosine, on the BPS, which initiates a nucleophilic attack at the intronic 5' splice site, thus starting the first of two transesterification reactions that mediate splicing. Lineage: Eukaryota; Metazoa; Chordata; Mammalia; Primates; Cheirogaleidae. The record is from Rfam by way of RNAcentral.
AUCGCUUCUCGGCCUUUUGGCUAAGAUCAAGUGUAGUUCUGUUCUUAUCAGUUUAAUAUCUGAUACGUCCUCUAUCCGAGGACAAUAUAUUAAAUGGAUUUUUGGAGCAGGGAGAUGCUCCGUCCACUCCACGCAUCGACCUGGUAUUGCAGUACUUCCAGGAACGGUGCACCCCCU